GAUGAAGAACGCAGCGAAAUGCGAUAAAUAAUGUGAAUUGCAGAAUUCAGUGAAUCAUCGAGUCUUUGAACGCACAUUGCGCCCCCUGGUAUUCCGGGGGGCAUGCCUGUCCGAGCGUCAUUGCUGCCCUCAAGCACGGCUUGUGUGUUGGGCCCCCGUCCCCCCCUCCCGGGGGACGGGCCCGAAAGGCAGCGGCGGCACCGCGUCCGGUCCUCGAGCGUAUGGGGCUUUGUCACCCGCUCUGUAGGCCCGGCCGGCGCCUGCCGACCACCAUCAAUCUUUUUUCAGGUUGACCUCGGAUCAGGUAGGGAUACCCGCAGAACUUAAGCAUAUCAAUAAGCGGAGGA
This 347-nucleotide unclassified non-coding RNA is filed under the name soil metagenome. RNAcentral's name for it is "partial contains 5.8S ribosomal RNA, internal transcribed spacer 2, and large subunit ribosomal RNA". The stretch from base 1 to 120 matches the Rfam family "5.8S ribosomal RNA", at positions 35 to 154 of the family's 154-position model. The record is from RNAcentral.